UACGGGGGAUGCAAGCGUUAUCCGGAAUUAUUGGGCGUAAAGCGUCUGUAGGUUGUUUAAUAAGUCCGUUGUUAAAGACUGGGGCUUAACCCCAGGAAAGCAAUGGAAACUGUUAGGCUAGAGUAUGGUAGAGGUAGAGGGAAUUCCUAGUGUAGCGGUGAAAUGCGUAGAUAUUAGGAAGAACACCGGUGGCGAAAGCGCUCUGCUGGGCCAUAACUGACACUCAGAGACGAAAGCUAGGGUAGCAAAUGGG
Molecule: ribosomal RNA, 253 nt
Filed under: uncultured bacterium
Lineage: Bacteria
Description: partial 16S ribosomal RNA
Rfam family: Bacterial small subunit ribosomal RNA
Source: RNAcentral